AUCGUGGUAACCAAUUGGACAAGGUGAAGAUCUGCAAAAUCUUUUUGAGUGGGUUCGAUUCCCACCCGCGAUUCCA
RNAcentral lists this transfer RNA (76 nucleotides) under Lentisphaeria bacterium. Its description in RNAcentral is "tRNA-Cys". It matches the Rfam family "tRNA". Rfam says of the family: Transfer RNA (tRNA) molecules are approximately 80 nucleotides in length. Their secondary structure includes four short double-helical elements and three loops (D, anti-codon, and T loops). Further hydrogen bonds mediate the characteristic L-shaped molecular structure. tRNAs have two regions of fundamental functional importance: the anti-codon, which is responsible for specific mRNA codon recognition, and the 3' end, to which the tRNAs corresponding amino acid is attached (by aminoacyl-tRNA synthetases). tRNAs cope with the degeneracy of the genetic code in two manners: having more than one tRNA (with a specific anti-codon) for a particular amino acid; and 'wobble' base-pairing, i.e. permitting non-standard base-pairing at the 3rd anti-codon position. The record is from RNAcentral. RNAcentral also lists the same sequence under 1 other name. Lineage: Bacteria; Pseudomonadati; Lentisphaerota; Lentisphaeria.